UCUGGUUGAUCCCGCCAGAGGUCACUGCUAUCGGUGUUCGAUUAAGCCAUGCGAGUCGAGAGGUGUUAUGGCCUCGGCGGACUGCUCAGUAACACGUGGAUAACCUACCCAAGAGUCUGGGAUAACCCCGGGAAACUGGGGAUAAUACCGGAUAGAUCAUCUUUGCUGGAAGGCUUGGUGGUUGAAACCUCUGGGGCUUUUGGAUGGGUCUGCGGCUGAUUAGGUUGUUGCCGGUGUAAUGUACCGUCAAGCCUGUAAUCAGUACGGGUUGUGGGAGCAAGAGCCCGGAGAUGGAUUCUGAGACACGAAUCCAGGCCCUACGGGGCGCAGCAGGCGCGAAAACUCUACAAUGCAGGCAACUGCGAUAGGGGAACAUCGAGUGAUCCUCAUAUUGGGGGUCUGUCCACCCGCCUAAAAAGCGGGUGUUAGCAAGGGCCGGGCAAGACCGGUGCCAGCCGCCGCGGUAAUACCGGCGGCUCGAGUGGUGGCCGAUAUUAUUGAGUCUAAAGGGUCCGUAGCCGGCUUUGCAAGUCUCUCGGGAAAUCCAGCGGCUUAACCGUUGGUCGUCCGGGGGGUACUACAUUGCUUGGGACUGGGAGAGGCGAGAGGUACUCAGGGGGUAGGAGUGAAAUCCUGUAAUCCUCUGGGGACCACCGGUGGCGAAGGCGUCUCGCCAGAACAGGUCCGACGGUGAGGGACGAAAGCUAGGGGCACGAACCGGAUUAGAUACCCGGGUAGUCCUAGCCGUAAACGAUGCUCGCUAGGUGUCACAACAGUCGUGAACUGUUGUGGUGCCGUAGGGAAGCCGUGAAGCGAGCCACUUGGGAAGUACGACCGCAAGGUUGAAACUUAAAGGAAUUGGCGGGGGAGCACCACAACGGGUGGAGCCUGCGGUUUAAUUGGACUCAACGCCGGGAAGCUUACCGGGAUCGACAGUUGUAUGAAGGCCAGGCUGAAGACCUUGCCGGACUAUCUGAGAGGAGGUGCAUGGCCGCCGUCAGUUCGUACCGUGAGGCGUCCUGUUAAGUCAGGCAACGAGCGAGACCCA
RNAcentral lists this ribosomal RNA (1048 nucleotides) under uncultured euryarchaeote. Its description in RNAcentral is "bacterial SSU rRNA". It matches the Rfam family "Archaeal small subunit ribosomal RNA", at positions 1 to 1054 of the family's 1478-position model. Lineage: Archaea; Methanobacteriati; Methanobacteriota. The record is from RNAcentral.